RNAcentral lists this ribosomal RNA (440 nucleotides) under uncultured bacterium. RNAcentral describes it as "bacterial SSU rRNA". It matches the Rfam family "Bacterial small subunit ribosomal RNA", at positions 338 to 794 of the family's 1533-position model. The record is from RNAcentral.
CCUACGGGGGGCAGCAGUAGGGAAUUUUCCACAAUGGGCGAAAGCCUGAUGGAGCAACGCCGCGUGCAGGAUGAAGGCCUUAGGGUUGUAAACUGCUUUUCUUGAGGAUGAUUAUGACAGUACUUAAGGAAUAAGGGUCGGCAAACUCCGUGCCAGCAGCCGCGGUCAUACGGAGAACCCAAGCGUUACCCGGAAUUACUGGGCGUAAAGAGUUGCGUAGGUGGCUUAUCAAGUUUUUGUUAAAAGGCAGAAGCUCAACUUCUGUUUCGGCAAAAAAACUGGCAAGCUAGAGGAUGGUAGAGGCGAGUGGAAUUUCUGGUGUAGGAGUGAAAUCCGUAGAUAUCAGAAGGAACACCAAUGGCGUAGGCAGCUCGCUGGGCCAUUCCUGACACUAAGGCACGAAAGCGUGGGGAGCGAACCGGAUUAGAUACCCUAGUAGU